Molecule: ribosomal RNA, 253 nt
Filed under: uncultured bacterium
Lineage: Bacteria
Description: partial 16S ribosomal RNA
Rfam family: Bacterial small subunit ribosomal RNA
Source: RNAcentral
UACAGGGGGGGCAAGCGUUGUUCGGAAUUACUGGGCGUAAAGGGCUCGCAGGCGGCCAACUAAGUCACACGUGAAAUCCCCAGGCUUAACCUGGGAACUGCGUGUGAUACUGGAUGGCUUGAAUUCGGGAGAGGGAUGCAGAAUUCCAGGUGUAGCGGUGAAAUGCGUAGAUAUCUGGAGGAAUACCGGUGGCGAAGGCGGCAUCCUGGACCGACAUUGACGCUGAGGAGCGAAAGCUAGGGGAGCAAACGGG